RNAcentral lists this unclassified non-coding RNA (195 nucleotides) under rhizosphere metagenome. Its description in RNAcentral is "partial ribosomal RNA internal transcribed spacer region". The record is from RNAcentral.
GUAGGUGAACCUGCGGAAGGAUCAUUAAUGAAUACACGAGUCGCCUCGGCGCUCAACCCUUCAUUUCCAACUCUGUGCAUCAUAUCACGUCCGUGCCGCAGUUUACUCUGCCACGGGCUCACCUUACAAACACUAGUCAAAGAAUGUAAAAAUAUAAAACAAAUAAAACUUUCAACAACGGAUCUCUUGGCUCUC